CAGGGAUUGCCUCAGUAACGGCGAGUGAAGCGGCAACAGCUCAAAUUUGAAAUCUGGCCCUUUCAGGGUCCGAGUUGUAAUUUGUAGAGGAUGUUUCGGGCGCGGCGCCGGUCUAAGUCCCUUGGAACAGGGCGUCAUAGAGGGUGAGAAUCCCGUAUGUGACCGGUGACCAACCCCAUGUGAAACCCCUUCGACGAGUCGAGUUGUUUGGGAAUGCAGCUCCAAAUGGGUGGUAAAUUUCAUCUAAAGCUAAAUACCGGCCAGAGACCGAUAGCGCACAAGUAGAGUGAUCGAAAGAUGAAAAGCACUUUGGAAAGAGAGUCAAAAAGUACGUGAAAUUGUUGAAAGGGAAGCGCUUGCAACCAGACCUGUCCGCGGGCGUUCAACCCCCGUUCUCGGGGGUGCACUCGUCCGCGAUCAGGCCAGCAUCGGUUCGGGCGGACGGAUAAAGGCCUUGGGAACGUAGCUCCCUUCGGGGAGUGUUAUAGCCCUCGGUGCAAUGCCGCCAGCCCGGACCGAGGACCGCGCUUCGGCUAGGAUGCUGGCGUAAUGGUUGUAAGCGACCCGUCUUGAAACACGGACCAAGGAGUCUAACAUCUAUGCGAGUGUUUGGGUGUCAAACCCAUGCGCGUAAUGAAAGUGAACGGAGGUGAGAACCCCUUCCGGGGCGCAUCAUCGACCGAUCCAGAUGUCUUCGGAUGGAUUUGAGUACGAGCAUAGCUGUUGGGACCCGAAAGAUGGUGAACUAUGCCUGAAUAGGGUGAAGCCAGAGGAAACUCUGGUGGAGGCUCGCAGCGGUUCUGACGUGCAAAUCGAUCGUCAAAUUUGGGUAUAGGGGCGAAAGACUAAUCGAACCAUCUAGUAGCUGGUUCCUGCCGAAGUUUCCCUCAGGA
This 893-nucleotide ribosomal RNA is filed under the name Lecanora glabrata. RNAcentral's name for it is "LSU rRNA". It matches the Rfam family "Eukaryotic large subunit ribosomal RNA", at positions 69 to 978 of the family's 3401-position model. Lineage: Eukaryota; Fungi; Ascomycota; Lecanoromycetes; Lecanorales; Lecanoraceae. The record is from RNAcentral.